Molecule: ribosomal RNA, 301 nt
Filed under: uncultured bacterium
Lineage: Bacteria
Description: partial 16S ribosomal RNA
Rfam family: Bacterial small subunit ribosomal RNA
Source: RNAcentral
CAGUCGCCGCGGGAAUACGUAGGUGGCAAGCGUUGUCCGGAAUUAUUGGGCGUAAAGGGCUCGCAGGCGGUUUCUUAAGUCUGAUGUGAAAGCCCCCGGCUCAACCGGGGAGGGUCAUUGGAAACUGGGAAACUUGAGUGCAGAAGAGGAGAGUGGAAUUCCACGUGUAGCGGUGAAAUGCGUAGAGAUGUGGAGGAACACCAGUGGCGAAGGCGACUCUCUGGUCUGUAACUGACGUUGAGGAGCGAAAGCGUGGGGAGCGAACAGGAUUAGAUACCCCAGUAGUCCCUGUCUCUUAUAC